CUUUCCCAUCUUAUAAGGAACUGGUGCAGAAACUGCAGAGAGGGGGAUGAAUACUUGGAAGAAGCAGGGCUCGAGUCCUGCAGGAACGCCGUUCCCUUUGCUCCUGCAGGACCAGGGCAGAUGCCUCUUGAGCCCAGCCAGUGCUCCUCCUGAGCAGAGCAUUCACUAUGCAAGCGAGCAGCAUUGCAUAGUGAAGGAGUCAGGACUCAGGAGAGGAGGACUUACUUCCAGGUUGCUACUCCUCCGACCUCCCCUGCCCUUUGCAUACGCGGCUACGUGGGAGUGUCGUGACAUCACGUGGAGGCGGAGUCACGUGUCGUGUCGGCAACGCUAGGGUGAGACCGUGACGGUGAGAAGGAGGGAGAAAAAAGGUCACACAGUCUCCCACACUCCUUCUGCCCGGCCAAGCCAGCCUGCACCCCUGAGGCCAAGCCAGCACUGAGUCUUCAGAACUGUAAGUACAUUUUAUAAGGAGAGCAUUUACUUGUUUGAUGGAGGCUGG
Non-coding RNA from Pelobates cultripes (western spadefoot toad), 502 nucleotides. The record is from the annotation of a GenBank genome assembly. Lineage: Eukaryota; Metazoa; Chordata; Amphibia; Anura; Pelobatidae.